Molecule: ribosomal RNA, 446 nt
Filed under: uncultured bacterium
Lineage: Bacteria
Description: partial 16S ribosomal RNA
Rfam family: Bacterial small subunit ribosomal RNA
Source: RNAcentral
CCUACGGGUGGCAGCAGUCGAGAAUCAUUCACAAUGGGGGAAACCCUGAUGGUGCGACGCCGCGUGGGGGAAUGAAGGUCUUCGGAUUGUAAACCCCUGUCAUGUGGGAGCAAAUUAAAAAGAUAGUACCACAAGAGGAAGAGACGGCUAACUCUGUGCCAGCAGCCGCGGUAAUACAGAGGUCUCAAGCGUUGUUCGGAAUCACGGGGCGUAAGGCGUGCGUAGGCUGUUUCGUAAGUCGUGUGUGAAAGGCGCGGGCUCAACCCGCGGACGGCACAUGAUACUGCGAGACUAGAGUAAUGGAGGGGGAACCGGAAUUCUCGGUGUAGCAGUGAAAUGCGUAGAUAUCGAGAGGAACACUCGUGGCGAAGGCGGGUUCCUGGACAUUAACUGACGCUGAGGCACGAAGGCCAGGGGAGCGAAAGGGAUUAGAUACCCUGGUAGUC